UGGGACAUACCUGAUUUGAACCCAGGACUCUUGUAUGCUAGACGAGCGCUUUACCAACCAAGCUACCGAGCC
RNAcentral lists this transfer RNA (72 nucleotides) under Aedes aegypti (yellow fever mosquito). RNAcentral describes it as "partial tRNA-OTHER". The record is from RNAcentral. Lineage: Eukaryota; Metazoa; Arthropoda; Insecta; Diptera; Culicidae.